GUUGGUAGGGUAACGGCCUACCAAGCCGAUGACGGGUAGGGGGCGUGAGAGCGUGAACCCCCACACUGGCACUGAGAUACGGGCCAGACUCCUACGGGAGGCAGCAGUGAGGAAUAUUGCCCAAUGGACGCAAGUCUGAGGCAGCAACGCCGCGUGGGCGAUGAAGGCCUUCGGGUUGUAAAGCCCUUUUCUGGGGGAAGAGGAAGGACGGUACCCCAGGAAUAAGUCACGGCUAACUACGUGCCAGCAGCCGCGGUAAUACGUAGGUGGCAAGCGUUAUCCGGAUUCACUGGGCGUAAAGCGCGUGCAGGCGGUUUCGUAAGUCGGACGUGAAAGCUCCUGGCUUAACUGGGAGAGGUCGUUCGAUACUGCGGGGCUUGAGGUCGGGAGAGGGACGUGGAAUUCCCGGUGUAGUGGUGGAAUGCGUAGAUAUCGGGAGGAACACCAGUGGCGAAGGCGACGUCCUGGCCCGCACCUGACGCUGAGACGCGAAAGCGUGGGUAGCGAACGGGAUUAGAUACCCCGGUAGUCCACGCUGUAAACGGUGGGUACUAGGUGUUGGUGGCUAUCGUCAUCAGUGCCGUAGCUAACGCGUUAA
RNAcentral lists this ribosomal RNA (598 nucleotides) under uncultured bacterium. RNAcentral's name for it is "bacterial SSU rRNA". It matches the Rfam family "Bacterial small subunit ribosomal RNA", at positions 248 to 863 of the family's 1533-position model. The record is from RNAcentral.